Molecule: non-coding RNA, 115 nt
Organism: Triticum aestivum (bread wheat)
Lineage: Eukaryota; Viridiplantae; Streptophyta; Magnoliopsida; Poales; Poaceae
Source: Rfam
GUUUUACUCCCUUCGUUUAGAAUUACUUGUCUCGGAAAUGAAUGUAUCUAGAACUAAAAUACGUCUAGAUACAUCCAUUUUCGCGACAAGUAAUUUCGAACAGAGGGAGUAGUUC